RNAcentral lists this long non-coding RNA (418 nucleotides) under Sinocyclocheilus grahami. RNAcentral's name for it is "lncRNA (ENSSGRG00000040324.1)". The record is from RNAcentral. Lineage: Eukaryota; Metazoa; Chordata; Actinopteri; Cypriniformes; Cyprinidae.
UGAUGAUACCUACCUAGAUCCUGUAGCAGGUCAGCACUCCACGUUUUUAUAACUUAACAUGAUUUUGUAAUGAUAAGUUGACUUGAAUCAUAUUUGUCAUUCUUUAUUUUAUCUUUUCCAGAACCUCCUGCACCCCGAAGCCCGGCCCGCAUGCCAUUGCCCCCUAAAACUGUAGGACGAGACCUUCCACCACAAAUAAUGAAGCCACCUGUUCCCAGAGCCAAAUCUAGUUCGGUUCUGAUCGGUGACACGGUGAACAAAGUUCUGCCGCCGGAAGUAAAACGCGCCACGUUUUCUGGCCAGCUGCCACCCGCACUAAACAGCAAACCGGUUCCUCCCAUCAUCCUCCCCAAAGAACCCAAACCCAGGUGAGUCUUUGAAGCCUUUACCUCUUUACAUGUUCAGAAACGUCCUGGAC